This 750-nucleotide long non-coding RNA is filed under the name Ursus maritimus (polar bear). RNAcentral describes it as "lncRNA (ENSUMAG00000013277.1)". The record is from RNAcentral. Lineage: Eukaryota; Metazoa; Chordata; Mammalia; Carnivora; Ursidae.
UACGUAAACAUGCAGUCAUACAGCUCUGCAUGCGCCACUGAUUCAAGGCUUACUCUGUGCUGGGCCCUGUUCUCGGUCCUACACCUGCAUUAGUUCCUUUCUCACACUGGCCCUGCGAGCUACGUACUAUUACCACUCCCAUUCUUACCGAAUUAUUACCCUGUUUUCACAGUGGAGCAACCCAAGAAACAAGGAGAUUAAAUACUUCAUCACAGGUGACAAGGCAUUGAACUGGGAUUCGCGCUCAGGCCCCCCGGCUCUAAGCACGAUACAAACUGCGUCUAGAUGGCCUCACAGCUGCCUAGAUGUGUGCAAUUACGGAAUCGCAACCUGACAUCACUAGUCCUCCUGUGGCCAAUUUCAAGCUACCAGUGUGCUGUCCCUGAACUAAAGGAGAUCCUGGGAGGAGAUGUGCAGAGCCACACAUUAUAUGCUGUUUCCACCGUGUUGAUGCAAUCCAAGGAGAGAAGCAGACUCUCCACUGAGCAGAGAGCCCAACCCGGGACUCGAUCCCAGGACCCUGGGGUCACGACCUGAGCCGAAGGCAGAUGCUUCACCGACUGAGCCACCCAGGCGCCCCAAGUCAAUGGUAUUUUAACAGCAUGGUAGGGUGACGGGGGGGGCUGCCUCUGUGGUGAGCACGGCGUAAUGUGCAGAGCUGAUGAAUCGCUACGUUGUACACCUGAAACCGAUGUCACGUGGGAUGUCAACUAUCAUCAAUUAAAAAAAUAAAAGAACGGCUGUAUUUCA